GAUGAACGCUGGCGGCGUGCCUAAUACAUGCAAGUCGAGCGAACGGACGAGAAGCUUGCUUCUCUGAUGUUAGCGGCGGACGGGUGAGUAACACGUGGAUAACCUCCCUAUAAGACUGGGAUAACUUCGGGAAACCGGAGCUAAUACCGGAUGAUAUUUUGAACCGCAUGGUUCAAAAGUGAAAGACGGUCUUGCUGUCACUUAUAGAUGGAUCCGCGCUGCGUUAGCUAGUUGGUAAGGUAACGGCUUACCAAGGCAACGAUGCAUAGCCGACCUGAGAGGGUGAUCGGCCACACUGGAACUGAGACACGGUCCAGACUCCUACGGGAGGCAGCAGUAGGGAAUCUUCCGCAAUGGGCGAAAGCCUGACGGAGCAACGCCGCGUGAGUGAUGAAGGUCUUCGGAUCGUAAAACUCUGUUAUUAGGGAAGAACAUAUGUGUAAGUAACUGUUCACAUCUUGACGGUACCUAAUCAGAAAGCCACGGCUAACUACGUG
This 497-nucleotide ribosomal RNA is filed under the name uncultured bacterium. Its description in RNAcentral is "partial 16S ribosomal RNA". It matches the Rfam family "Bacterial small subunit ribosomal RNA", at positions 28 to 507 of the family's 1533-position model. The record is from RNAcentral.